RNAcentral lists this long non-coding RNA (1293 nucleotides) under Homo sapiens (human). RNAcentral describes it as "HSALNT0142851". The record is from RNAcentral. Lineage: Eukaryota; Metazoa; Chordata; Mammalia; Primates; Hominidae.
ACCUGCAGAAUAAGCCUCUUGAUAGAUCUGCUAGGUCAGCUUUUCUUUCUAAAAUGUUGAUUUACUUUAUUACACAUUUGAAUGUAUGGCACAUGAUAGCAUGCUAAAUCUUAGAAAUUAAUGCAAUGUUAUCAACCAAAAAAAAAAAAAAACAAAGUAAUGAGUAUGUUGAAGGGUGGAUCACAAACAGAUGAGCAUCUUGUAUAAUAACUUUUUUUUCCUUAAAAUUUUUAAUGUGUUCAUGGUAGAAAAAUGUGAGAUCAGAAAUGAAUAUAAAGAAGAAAAUUGAUGUUUCAAAUGCUACUUAAAAUAUAUAGUGAGAAGGUUUCUGAUGGAAAGUAUCAGAUAUUGCUCUUGCCUCUUAAUUGUGAAUGCAUGAAUGAGCUUGAGGUUAACAUACACAAGGCUGAAUCCUGAGCCUUAACUACAUAAUUUGCUUUGUAAUGUCAGUUUCAUGGGCAUAACAAAGAUUAUACUAUUGUUGCUCCAGUUGUUCUACAGAAAAAAAUGAAGUUAAUAUUUUGUCCAUGACAAACUCAAAUUCUCCCAAAUACAUUUAUCACUUUUUCUUACUUGUGGCCACUUAUUGAGUGUGUUGUAAAAUGUGGUAUUCUUACACUUAAAUGAUAGAUCCACAAUUCAAAAUAAAAAAAGUAGAAAAACCAUAGCAGUUUUUCCUGAUUUAUUUGAAAGCAAACAUGUCCUGACAUUAGAACUUAAAGAAAAAAGACUUUAAACUAUUUAUAACUUUUGGAAAAGGCAGACUCACUUGCACAGUCUAUCAACCUCUGCUGAUUGCUGCUCAGUUACAUAAGAAUGGGCUUUGAGCCUGGAACAUUUCCUUACCAAGAGAGAAAGAGCCCACACUGCCUAUGCCAAGCUUAUCACUUUGUGCGGAAAUAUCUUUCCCUGUUUCAGACUCAAUGAGUGUUCCCUUGUUUUGCUUAAGCUUGUGAGUCUGUGGUCUCCAAACAGUCCCCCAGACAUCAGUGUUUCAGACCCCACAGGGGAGGGAUUGAGGUCCUACUGAGGCGUAUGAGGGGUACAGGCACUGCAUCUUCUGCCGGGAGAGAUACCCUAGUCAUGGGAGACCAACACACAUCAUUGAAGCCGAUCUUGCUCUGUCUGUCCUCUACACAGUAAGUACUCACUGAACAUUCUCAAUACGUUCUUGGAACAGUUCAGCAUGGCUGUGGAGGCCUCAGGAAACAUAAUCAUGGCGGAAGGCGAAGGGGAAGCAAGGCACCUUUUUCACAAGGUGGCAGGAAGGAGAAGUGCUGAGAGAAGGGGAAA